Molecule: RNA transcript, 2764 nt
Organism: Brassica rapa (field mustard)
Lineage: Eukaryota; Viridiplantae; Streptophyta; Magnoliopsida; Brassicales; Brassicaceae
Source: RefSeq, a predicted model, not a curated record
UGGCUGACCCUCGCCUCGACGACCAAGCAAAACGCAAAGCCACGAAGAAAGAAAAUAUAUCAAGAAUCCGCUUCACCUUUUUCUUUUUCCCUUUUUAUUUAAUUUUUAUCGAGCGGCUAUUUUAAAUAAUUAUAUUAAAUGUUUUCAAAUAACAAAACAAUUAAAUGACUAGAGAAUCUGGGGUAAUCGUUAAGAUGUUGAUUCAAAAAUGAAUUUUGGUUCCAGAGGUUGGAUAAGAUGAAGGAUUCUAAUAGACAAAGCAAGCAACUUGAAGAACUUGCUGGCAGGAUGAGAAACUCUAAAAGAUGUUUCUGAAUCGAGUUUUAAUGAGCGCUAAUUUUGUAAUGUAUUCAAAGAUGGGGACGCUCGAAACUCUCCUCAAGUAAAUAAGUAAUUGAAUGAUGAGAAACAAUCUAUAGUGAGUUGACUCUCUGUUUUGAUGAAAUUUAUGGAGGUUGUAAUCAUUUUGAGAUUCUAGCUUUUUUAAUAAUACUUCUGAAGUAAUCAUUGCAAUAGUUAAUGUGUUAUAGAUAUUCUAUGAACAUCACUAUUAGCAUUUUGGUUUCUGUGUCUUUUCAAAAUCUGCUUGUUGAUAUUUCCUCCGAUUUAUGUGACGGAUUAAGAAACGCAACUCUUAUGUUGCACUAAGAAAAACGAGUACGCCUGUCAUGCCAUUUCCAAGAAGCUGCAUUGUCCUAUACUAUUUCACAUCGAUCCUUUUAGGAAGUGUAUUCAAGAUGUUUGUGUUGUGUGACUUCAGGUACACUCGGCAACAAGAAAGUUGAUCUUUUUGGGUACGGGAGCUGGAUUCAGCAGGUGAACCCACAGCAGAAGAAAAUGUGUCUUCAUGUGAGUCUCUGUCUACAUGAAGUUGCUAUUGGAAGCCUAAAGCUGCUUGCUGCUACAUGUUCUAGAAUAGUUAAUCCUGUACUACGAGCUUUUGGGUUAAUGAUUUUUGUUUAUAUAUAUAUAUAUAGCAAUGUCAAACCAAGAGCUUGUCGAUGCUGGAAUGAGGAGGAUGGACGAGACUGACCAGGCUAUUGAACACCCUAAACAGGUUGUUCAUCAGACAGUGGAAAUCGAUACUCAAACCGCAGCUAAUUUAAAGGGCCAGGUAACACAAAGCAUUCACCAUCUUGUCCUGAUAUUCCUAUGAGGCGUACUACGUUGACCUCCUAUAAAUUUGACAGGCGGAUCAAAUGGGCCGGGUUGGGAAUGACCUAGACACAAUUCAGUUCUCUAUCAAGAAAGCUUCAAAGCUGGUUAAAGAGAUAGAAAGACAGGUUUGCAUAAUCUAAUCUCCCUGGAGAUAAGUUUCUCAAUGCAAAAGCUACUGAAGCUGUAGCUACAGAUACGUGCAUAAUGAUGUUCCUGUUUCUGAUGGUAGGUGGUGUUAUAGCCAUUAUUGUUGUGAAGGUUAAUAACUAUUGCAUUCUCCAAUUUUUUCAUAUGAAGUUUGGGUUCUGACUCUACUUGUAAAACAAACUAGCCUUUGACCCGCGCACACGCGCAGAUGUCAUUUUUUAUACAAAUAACUAAUUUAUAUAUAUAUAUAUAUAAUAUUUGCUAUUUUACAUAUUGGUUUUAUAUGACAUAUCUACCCAUAACAUUUUUAUUGUUUAUACGUUGUAAUCUUAAAUGUUCCUAUAUUAAAUUCCUUUAGUGGUUUGUUUAUAUGAAUGAUUUGUAAAUUGUAAAAAUUUGGAAUAUAAAUUAAAAAAUAUAUAUAGGAACAUAUAUAUAUAUAUAUAUAUAUAUAUAUAUAUAUAUUACAUGCUAUAAUGGUGAAGCUCUUAUUUUAUUUUCUCAUAAUUUCACUAUUGUCAAUCCAUUUUAGUAUAUAUAUUAGUCUAAUGCACAGGCUCAAUUAACAUACUAAUAGAUCAUAUUAGUAAAAUAAUUUAUAAGUAAAUAAAUGGACAGUGUAUACAUUAGAAUUAACCUAUUAACAUAAGCUUCUAGAUGAAAUGGCUAAGAUAAUUUACAAAGUAAAUAAAUGGACCACGACAUUGUAUUUCUUCAACUAAACCCAUAUGCAAUUCUAAAAAAAAAAUUUCCGGACCAUUCAUCUUCCCCUAGACUGUGUAUUUCGUUUUUUUUUGUCAGUGAGGCAGAAACAUUAUUUCCUCUUCUCAAUUCAUGAACCUAAGAAAGAUUGUAAGAUAUAUCUACAUGAUUUCCAUCUUCGUAUCAAAGGGCGCAAGUGGAUCCGCUUCAUUUUCUCAAGAUAAGUCACAUCGUCAGUGAUUGCUAAGUUCAAACUCGCUUUAAAGAAGCUUCGGCGUAGAUCAAUGUCCAUUCUAUAUUAGAGAAGUUGGGUUGACUUAAUUGCAGAAGCAUUGUUUAUAUGCUAGAACAACCAAGUAUUGUGAUAAGAAGAGUCACGGAAUCGACAUUGCAAGUUAAGUUCAGAUAGUCUAAUAGUACAUGAAUACUAUUCCGAGUUAGUGUCAAUUUUCUUAUAGCUUAUUUGCUUUCAUACAUUCAGUAUUAGUACUAUCGACAAACUACUCUUACUGGAGAAACAAAGGGACAAUAGCCAGUUACACAAAAGCAAAAGGGAGAAGGACAGAAAGAUGAGGAUCAGUUGUAAAAAAACAUAGUGGAGGGACAAAAAACAUAUGGUAAGAAAUUGUCAAAUAUUUCUGCCCUUUCAUAAUAUUGUAUCAUGUAUGUCAUAUGUUUUAUAAAACGUUCUAUCUUUAUUUUUAAAUGAAUUACGUUGAUUUUUUUAAACAAUCAUCAUAUGAUGAUAUUUGACCUU